This 204-nucleotide unclassified non-coding RNA is filed under the name Hevea brasiliensis (rubber tree). The record is from RNAcentral. Lineage: Eukaryota; Viridiplantae; Streptophyta; Magnoliopsida; Malpighiales; Euphorbiaceae.
AUUUUGCUCCUCACUUGUAACUUUUCCUCACUUAGCUUUAGAAAUAAUUGCUUCUCCAAUCAAUCAGGUUUAUAGAAAUUUUAUUGAAUAAUUUUGUAGACUGUCAAAUUAUAAUAACAAUAUCAAUGUAAAAAUAGCUAACCAAGGAACUUUCUGAUCUCAACUGACAUUCUCAUUAUACAAUAUUUCUUCAACUUUAUAAGU